UGCUUUCAGCUGGUUAUGAGGCCUUGGG
This 28-nucleotide non-coding RNA is filed under the name Mus musculus (house mouse). The record is from RNAcentral. Lineage: Eukaryota; Metazoa; Chordata; Mammalia; Rodentia; Muridae.